GGGGGGGGUGCAACAUAUGGAAGAAUGGAGAACUGAGACACUAAAUGAUUAUGGAAGUUGAUCAAGUGGAGGAGCAAAGCCCUGAAUUAAAACAGUGGGGUUCAAGAAUGUCUGUGUGCUCCAGCACUACACUGUGUAAAUUGCAACCAAGAUUCUAGUUAAGGUUCCGAGCCUUGCAUUGCCUAUGUGUAAAUUAUGAAAUCGGUUUAGACAGUUUCUAAACUAUCCUUAAUCUCUAAUAUUAAAAUUAAGCUCAUAUUACGAUAGCAAGGUGUCUGUCAUAGAGCUGCAGGUCAGUAAGACACUUAGAGAUUCAUGGGUUGUAAUGACAAUGAUAUGAAGUGCCAAACUCCAUCCUUUCCACAAGGCCUUUCAUUUUGGUGGGAUUUAGUACUGAUACAUGUCUUUCUGAAGACCCACAAGAAAUGAACCUCCAAUCUGGAAAGUGACUGGCAGGAGAAGCUGUUAUUGUGUGCUUCAAUGAUAGCUAUUUUUAUUAGUUUUUACCACUUUAGCUGAAGCAUUUCUGAUGAAAUAAACCCUCGUGUUUGUGUGUUUGGCUUGAUUACUCAAUCUAUGCAUUAGACAAAAAGCAGAGAUCAUCCAGCAGAUCCUUAGGAAUAAAAUAAUACAGUUUAAAAAUAUUCAGGAGGAACAGAAAGAUUUUACCUGAGCAUAUAGAAAGGUCGCACAGAGUCCAGAGCUGUAAACAAAUUCUGAUGUCUAAUUUUGUUAGGUAUAGUUAUAUUAUAGUAAUCAGAAGUUACAACAACAGUUACAGCUUUUGUUUUGGAAAAGUAAUAUUCAAGAUCAAUUGGUGGUAUAGUUCUGAAAUACUAACUAGGAUCAUAAGUUUAGAAUAAGCUGAUAAAACAAAGAGCUAUUCAGUCCUUAAAUUGUCAGGUACAGGGAAAUUGAUUAAUGCAGAUAUUUAUAGAGGCUGCCAAUUACUGUGCAUCCUAGUUCCUUGGUGAAAGGUAUGAAAUCUGAAAGACUUUUCAAGAGGUCUGCUUUUCUUUUAUUAUGUUUUUCUCCCAUUUCUUCAGAUAAAACUAUGUGAAGGGAGGUUAAUGAAUAAAAAUUAAUGGAGAAAUACCUUGAAAAAGAAAUCAUGGGAGAGAUCUCAGGAUACAUUCAAAUAUAAUAAGGCUUCUAGACUCCGUUUUGUGGUAGAAUUUUAUGCACUAUCUGAAAUUCCAUUCUUGAGCAAAUUGAUUGGAAUAAGUAAUUGAAUUCUACCAAUACCGUAUUUCCCUUCCAGUAGUUUCUCUUACUUUUUGUCUGUCAUGGUAGGGAUGCAUUUGUUCCUUUUUUGAGGCAUUCUUUUUUACAAAAUAUAAGUAAAAGUUGAACAAAAACAUUUCUGAGCCUGAGAAGAGUUAUGUUUCAUUGAAGAAAGGAUAAUUUAAUUAUAUGAACAUUAAUUAUAUUUUGUUUUUACUACUUUUAGAUUUUGCAAGGAAAGAUGGUCUUAUAAAGACAAAAGAAAACCAUUAAGGUAACAAACAAGUACACAAAGAAAACCUUCAAAUGACAACAAUAAAAAAAAAAAUGCUAGCUGACUAGCAUUGUUGUUAGUAUUGACUUCAGAAAAAAAUCUAAUCAAUGAUUCAUUUUACUCUCAGCAAAGAACUGUUCUUACAUAGCAUGUGUUUAAUGAUUUUAGACUCAUUUCUUGUUCAGUUUCACUGCAUAAUUAUAAAGCAAAGUCAGAAGUGCUAUGAGGAAUUGAACUCUGCCUACUCGCAUCCAUCUGCAGUACAUUUUCUGUUCACUCACCCUGCUGCUUCUGACUCUGUCACAUACAGGGGAAAAUCAUAUCUGUUUAGAACUUCUAGGAUAAAAGGUCUUCUCUAAAAUUUGAAAACCCCAUAAUAAUAAGACAAAUGCCAACAUGAAAUGGAUAAACAUUUUACUGACAAAUCAUAAAAGAGGGAAUGAAUUAACACUCAACUCAUUCCAUUGCUAAACACUCAUGGUGACAGAACUUAACAUCUGGACUAAAGAAGCCAGAUGGUUACAGUGAGAGAAAUAGGCAACUUAAAAUCUUUAGAAAACUAAGAGCUCCCCAGGAGAGGGAAAAUGAUAAAGGUCCAUAGAGCUCAAGUUCAUCUAAGACUAUAAAUAGCCAUGAUUUUAUUUUAUAGGCACAGCUGGAAUUAUGAGUAACAUCAAGAGGCAUAUGAAGCACAUUGUAUGGAGAGAGUUGGGUCAUUGUAAUCCUUCCCUCUUUUAUACUUUCAAUAUUAAUGGUGGAUUACUUAUAAUAUUAAUAACUCCAGGAUGUUUGCAACCUUGCCGCCCUAGUUCCCGGAAGAGUGUUUAACACAAAGCAGCCUUUCAGUACAUACUUGAUGAAUGUAAGAAUGAAUGAAUGCAUUGAUGGAAAUACCUGCAUCUAAAGAUUUUUAAGAGUACAUAUUGUUCACAUAAUUGUUAAUGUUACAAGGGAAGCAAACUAUUAAAUCAUCUCUUUGCCAGAUAUUAUGGAAAAUGUUGCUCACUCCAUGUUUAAGUAGAAAUUUUAGAUUAUUUUUUGUUCUUCUGUAUAUUUAACCUUCUUUUCAAAGUCUAUACAUGUUCAAAAAUUGUUGUCUGCCUCUCAAGUUGUUCAAAGAAUUUGCUCCUCAGGUUGCCUAUUUAUUCUAGCCAGGCUUCAAAAAUCAAAUGUGAGACCUGCAUUUAUGCCAGUAAAAUAUUGUUCAGUGUAGAACAAUGAGUAGAAGUGGUGGCAUGACAUUCAUUAUUGGACUAUAACAAAAGAACUUAUUAACCAAUAAGCAUCACUUGUUUAGAGACACUGCAUGCAUGCACGUGAAUGCACACACACACAAACGUACACACCUCUCAACUGAAAUCCUCAGAACAAUCACCCCAGGAGUUUUGCUGCCUCAUUGCCAAAUACUAGAUGAUCUAUUAACAGAUAUUUAAUUUUAAUCACAAACUGGCUACCUAAUGAGAUUUUCAUUAAAAAGCAAGUCAUUUUUGUAUGUAAAAAGUCUUUCUUCCAUAGGUUUAAACUAUGAAUCCUAUAAUAAUGGAUUUAGAGUAAUGCUUGCACUAAGAGUAUGAUGACAGAGAGUUUGGCAAUUCUAGGGGAAAAUACAAGUAGUCUUUUUGACUUUAUUGGAAGAUUUAAAGGAUUUUGAUUUUGUUUUCCUGUUAUUUCUUUGUUUAGGACCCUCAGCUCUCGUUCAGUUUUCAGAUACACAUUUCAGUCAAUUAAAACACAGUAUUUUAAAGUAUGUGCAUAAAUUAUUUGCCCCAAGAAACAUUUUUUUCCCAUCUUUUUAGAGUCGCACCUAUGGCAUAUGAAAGUUUCCAGGCUAGGGGUCGAAUCGCAGUUGCCGGCAUACACAACAGCUACAGUAACUUGGUAUCCUAGCAAGGUCUGAGAUCUACACCACAGCUCAUGGCAGCAACUCCAGAUCAUUAACACACUGAGCGAGGCCAGGGAUUGAACCUGUGUCCUCAUGGAUACUAGUUGGGUUCGUUGCCACUGAGCCACAAAAGGAACUCCCAAGAAGCAUUUUUAUAGUUCAUAUUAUCCAUAAGUGUUAUAUAAAUCACAUAAUUUAAUUUUGCUUAUUUUCAAUAUUUCAAAAAGUAAAUGUAAAAAAAAAAAAUCCUGUUUUCUUUGCUUGCCAAGUAAGGAGCAAGAGCCUUUUGAAAUGUUGAGUACUGGUUAAACCACAGUGAUUCUAACAUAACUUAGAAUCUUAGAAUCUAGCAUUCAUGUACUAGAGUACCCAUGGAGUGUCUUAGAAAAAUUUGUAAAUAAGAUAGCGAUGUCCAAGUCUAUGUUUAGCUGUGAUCCCACCUCUUCCUCUUGUGAUUUAUACCAGAUGUAGGCUAAUAUAAAUGACUCUUGAAGUCUUGUUUCAUAUCUGCUUUAAAUGAGUUGAACAUGUUUACCAAUGUCGAGAGAAUUAUUUAAAAAAAAUCAGGUGUGGCAUGUUCAGUAAUUAGAUUUAAUGAGCAACUUUUCAGUGGCUAUCUUAAUAAUUAUCAAUUCUUUCCAUGUAUAAAAAACUAUUGUUCAAGCACUUCAGAGCUCAAAACCACAUAAGAGUGUACAUGAUUCACCUUUCUAUGUAAACAUCCCAUUAAGAUGUCUGAUAUUAUUGCUGAUCCUAUCGCUAUCAUAAUUCUAUUUUCUCACCAUAAUAUGUAUACCAAAAUCUUAAUCUUGCAAGAACAAGAUUCAACUGCAAUGCUUAACUGUGGUUAGCAAAACCAGUUUUAUACUAUUAACAUGUAAUGAAAAUUCUUGUAAUGGUUCUUCUGUUAGUUUGCAGGAUCUGUCACAGCAAAUAAUUGCAGACUAGCUGCCUUAAACAAGAAAAAUAGGUUGUCACACAGUUCUGGAGGCCCUUUCAAUACCUCAGUUUUUGGACAGCGAAGCACCUUUUUCAGGCCUCUCUUCUUGGUUCGUUGAUGGUCAUCCUCCUAUGUUUGUUCCAUUUUCUUCUCUCUCUCUAUGUAUCUCUGUGUCUAAAUUACCUUUUUGUAUGGAUAUCAGUUAUAUCAGAUUAGGGUCUGUGAUAGUAACUUCAGUUCAACUUGAUUACCUCCAUAAAGAUCCUGUCUCAGAAUAAGGUUAGGACUCUAACAUGUGAAUGCGGGGUAAACACAUUUAACCCGUAACAGUUCUUCAUACGAAAAAGACAGUACUUUACCAUCAAAUGAUUAGCUAAAUGAUUAAGAACAAGCCUCUGGAUUCAGAUAUCAUGCGUAUUAGGGCCAGAAUUUCUGGCCCUAACUGGUGUUCCACUUUGGGUGUGUAUAAGCUCUUUGUGCUCUGAUUUUUUAUCUAUAGAAUAGAGAUAAUGUUAAUAACUAGUUAACAUUGAGUUGGUCGUAGAAUUAUGAUUGUGUGUACAGACACACACACACAUGAUAUGUAUUCUUGGCAAAUAAAAAGCUAUUUUAAAGUG
This 4937-nucleotide long non-coding RNA is filed under the name Sus scrofa (pig). RNAcentral describes it as "lncRNA (ENSSSCG00000052975.1)". The record is from RNAcentral. Lineage: Eukaryota; Metazoa; Chordata; Mammalia; Artiodactyla; Suidae.